UACGAGAGCCCCGAGCGUUAUCCGGAAUUACUGGGCGUAAAGGGUGCGUAGGUGGUUAUGUUAGUCGUCCGUAAAAUCUCCGAGCUCAACUCGGAACCUGCGAACGAAACGGCAUAACUUGAGAGUGUGAGAGGUUUCUGGAACUCAUGGUGUAGGGGUGAAAUCCGUUGAUAUCAUGGGGAACACCAAAAGCGAAGGCAAGAAACUGGCACAUAUCUGACACUGAAGCACGAAAGCGUGGGUAGCGAAUGGG
Molecule: ribosomal RNA, 253 nt
Filed under: uncultured bacterium
Lineage: Bacteria
Description: partial 16S ribosomal RNA
Rfam family: Bacterial small subunit ribosomal RNA
Source: RNAcentral